RNAcentral lists this ribosomal RNA (267 nucleotides) under uncultured bacterium. RNAcentral describes it as "partial 16S ribosomal RNA". It matches the Rfam family "Bacterial small subunit ribosomal RNA", at positions 87 to 354 of the family's 1533-position model. The record is from RNAcentral.
CGGUUUUAGUGGCGGACGGGUGAGUAACGCGUGGGUAACCUGCCUCACACUGGGGGAUAACACUUAGAAAUAGGUGCUAAUACCGCAUAAGCGCACGGGACUGCAUGGUCUUGUGUGAAAAACUCCGGUGGUGUGAGAUGGACCCGCGUCUGAUUAGCUGGUUGGCGGGGUAACGGCCCACCAAGGCGACGAUCAGUAGCCGGCCUGAGAGGGUGGACGGCCACAUUGGGACUGAGACACGGCCCAGACUCCUACGGGAGGCAGCAG